RNAcentral lists this ribosomal RNA (567 nucleotides) under uncultured bacterium. Its description in RNAcentral is "bacterial SSU rRNA". It matches the Rfam family "Bacterial small subunit ribosomal RNA", at positions 339 to 906 of the family's 1533-position model. The record is from RNAcentral.
CUACGGGAGGCAGCAGUGAGGAAUAUUGGUCAAUGGAGGCAACUCUGAACCAGCCAUGCCGCGUGAAGGAUGACGGCCCUAUGGGUUGUAAACUUCUUUUGAAUAGGAAGAAACUUAUCUACGUGUAGAUAACUGACGGUACUAUUAGAAUAAGGAUCGGCUAACUCCGUGCCAGCAGCCGCGGUAAUACGGAGGAUCCAAGCGUUAUCCGGAUUCAUUGGGUUUAAAGGGUCCGUAGGCGGAUCUUUAAGUCAGUGGUGAAAGCCGACAGCUUAACUGUCGAACUGCCAUUGAUACUGGAGACCUUGAGUACAAAUGAAGUAGGCGGAAUGAGUCAUGUAGCGGUGAAAUGCAUAGAUAUGACUCAGAACACCGAUUGCGAAGGCAGCUUACUAACAUGUAACUGACGCUGAGGGACGAAAGCGUGGGGAGCGAACAGGAUUAGAUACCCUGGUAGUCCACGCCGUAAACGAUCAUCACUCGCUGUUGGCGAUAUACUGUCAGCGGCCAAGCGAAAGUAUUAAGUGAUGCACCUGGGGAGUACGCCGGCAACGGUGAAACUCAAAG